This 337-nucleotide unclassified non-coding RNA is filed under the name soil metagenome. RNAcentral describes it as "partial contains 5.8S ribosomal RNA, internal transcribed spacer 2, and large subunit ribosomal RNA". The stretch from base 1 to 120 matches the Rfam family "5.8S ribosomal RNA", at positions 35 to 154 of the family's 154-position model. The record is from RNAcentral.
GAUGAAGAACGUAGCGAAAUGCGAUAAGUAGUGUGAAUUGCAGAAUUCAGUGAAUCAUCGAAUCUUUGAACGCACAUUGCGCCCCUUGGUAUUCCAUGGGGCAUGCCUGUUCGAGCGUCAUUUGUACCCUCCAGCCCUGCUGGGUAUUGGGCGUUUUGUUCCGCUACGCGCGUGAACUCGCCUCAAAUGCAUUGGCAGCCCGCCGUCCCGUGUGGGAGCGAAGCACAUUUUGCGCUCUCCGCUGCUGACGGUGGCAUCCACAAGUCUACCAUUUUACGCUUGACCUCGGAUCAGGUAGGGAUACCCGCUGAACUUAAGCAUAUCAAUAAGCGGAGGA